RNAcentral lists this ribosomal RNA (439 nucleotides) under uncultured bacterium. RNAcentral describes it as "partial 16S ribosomal RNA". It matches the Rfam family "Bacterial small subunit ribosomal RNA", at positions 338 to 795 of the family's 1533-position model. The record is from RNAcentral.
CCUACGGGUGGCUGCAGUGGGGAAUAUUGCACAAUGGGCGAAAGCCUGAUGCAGCAACGCCGCGUGAGCGAUGAAGGCCUUCGGGUCGUAAAGCCCUGUCCUCAAGGAAGAUAAUGACGGUACUUGUCGAGGAAGCCCCGGCUAACUACGUGCCAGCUGCCGCGGUUAUACGUAGGGGGCUAGUGUUAUCCGGAAUUAGUGGGCGUAAAGGGUGCGUAGGUGGUUUCUUAAGUCAGAGGUGAAAGGCUACGGCACAACCGUAGUAAGCCUUUGAAACUGGGAGACUUGAGUGCAGGAGAGGAGAGUGGAAUUCCUAGUGUAGCGGUGAAAUGCGUAGAUAUUAGGAGGAACACCAGUUGCGAAGGCGGCUCUCUGGACUGUAACUGACACUGAGGCACGAAAGCGUGGGGAGCGAACAGGAUUAGAUACCCCUGUAGUC